This 916-nucleotide long non-coding RNA is filed under the name Physcomitrium patens. RNAcentral's name for it is "long non-coding RNA (PPAT_LNC002524)". The record is from RNAcentral. Lineage: Eukaryota; Viridiplantae; Streptophyta; Bryopsida; Funariales; Funariaceae.
AUCCAUAUGAGAAGAAUAUAAUCUGAAUUUUAAUUCAAAAGUGCUAAAAAACACUCUUCUUAGUAGCCUUAAUCAUACAUAAAUUCCAAUUACCUUAUUACUUUCAUGUUUAAGCAAUUUAGAUUUUUAUUAUAAGCCUCAAUCCUAAUCAGUGAGAUUUAACAAGCUAUAACUUGUAAUUUGACUGUCCACUUGAUGUAAAAUUUUGCAUGCAAUUGUCAAUGUAAGUCUUCUAUAUGCUCCAGAAUUUUCAAUCCAAUCCAACAUACAAAUUGUGAGAAAACCUUCAAAAAUUGCACUAAUGUCAUUCGGCUUACAACUUAAAAAGUGAAGCAAAAAUCCUAGCAAAGAUUUCUCCUUCUCCAUUAAUUAACUUUGAUUCAAAAUUGGUGUGCACCUUGAUCUUCAAGUCUUUCAAGACCAUGCCAAAUUUCACCUUAAUCCGACUAGUAGAUCUUUAGAUAUCACAGAAAUCCUACUCAAUCUCCAAACUACCAACUUUCAAAAUCCUCUUGUACUAAAAAUUAGAUAUCUCUAAAUCACAUUGUUAGAUUAUCACAAAAUUUUAUAUACACUUAGUACACCCAAUAAUCCAAAUAAUAUCAAAUUUUGAACUAUAGAUGCUACACCAAUCGCACAAACUAGCCAAAAUUGCUAGUCCUAAUUAUAUAAUAUAUAACCCAAAUCACCAAAAUAAACCUUGACUUUGAGCAACAAUUGCUAAGUCUUCAAAAAUCCUAAAAAAACAACUCUUAUUCUUUUAGAAAGAGCUUCAAACUAGCUCUCAAAUCUUUAUCUUUGAUCUUCAAAUGCCUCUGUAAUUUACCAUAGGCAGUCGUUUUAGUGACCAAAGGUUUGAUUUCGAUCCUGUCUCACAAACGGUCAUCCAGUAGGUAUCAAUCUAAUCUAUUAUAAG